Molecule: long non-coding RNA, 1284 nt
Filed under: Cairina moschata (Muscovy duck)
Lineage: Eukaryota; Metazoa; Chordata; Aves; Anseriformes; Anatidae
Description: domestica (muscovy Duck (domestic type)) lncRNA (ENSCMMG00000001152.1)
Source: RNAcentral
UCUGAAAUAUCAGCAGUAUUCGGAUAAACUGGCUUUAAAAACACUUAAUGAAUAAGUGUUUGGACUCAAACUUCAGACCAAUCCUCUGUAGCUACCCCUGUCUUGACUUCUGAAUGAUCAUUUUCACUCAGUUGUUUCAGCAAGCAGCUGUCUGUCUCCUGAACAUCUUAAACUGGCUAAGCUGCUUUGUUUGCUGGACUUCUAUUCCUGCUUCCUCAUCUUAGUGGCAGGUGGCACAAGUUCUUGGUGGCUGAUCAUUAAGUCUCCCUUUGUUUUAUGACUGCCUCUGAACAGGAGAAGCCUCUCCAGUUUUUGAAAAGAGCCUGGAGUUUUGUCCUUACCCUUUGCUGCCUGGCCACAGCACAGCUGCAUGUGGUGAAGGUGACGCAGUCAGAACUUGGCAAAAUAGAAGCUGUGCGUCAUUUAACUUACCUAGGUGAUUGAUGGAGCAGAAAAACUAACGACCCAUGAAGGAACAAAUGUUUCUCAAACAAAAGGUAAAUAAAUCUGAUAAUGGAGCUGUAAGGAUGGGUGAAAAUCAGAGGUUGUAAGUGCCCUUAAAUCCCCCUGAAACUGCAGCCUCAGACCUUCUGCAUGAAUUUCUAUGGGGAGAAGAAAAGCAAUAACUUUGGGAGUGUCAAAAGCUGUGAUGCAGAGAAAAUUAAUGUUUACAUCAUUUUUAAAUGCAUACAGUUUGUAAUACACAUUGAGAGCUAGCUGAGGACACAAUUGCAAAAUGCAUUGUAUUGUAAGUGCACUGCAACGGCUGCAGAGAGCCCCUGGAUCAUAUUGACGGGAUGGCACGCCAGCUGGAUCCAACUAAGAAUUCCUCAUCAAGGUGUGUUUAAACUCCGAGAAUACAAAAUCUUUUUCCAUUAAGUAUGAUAGCUACGUAGUCAUUUUUAGUGUUCUCUUUUCUCAUGCUAUUCGCUUUAUUGCUGUCCACCUUGGGAUUCCUGCUACUAUGGGAUUUCUUACUGGGCUGAUGCUUGGCCAAUAUUUGUCCAACUUCUCUUUUUUUUGUCUCCUGUGAAAACUGUCUGAAACUAAGCAGAAACUAACCUUAAUUUAUUUCUUUAAUAAACAAAAUUAAGAUACUGCAUAUUAAUAAAAAAUGAAAAGUAUUCCCUUGUUGGUUUUCUUUUUUUUUUUUUUUUUUUUUAAGUUUCCCAAAACAGUCCCAUAUCUCUGUCAAAGUUAACGUAACUAGAAUUUCCAUGGGAAUUUGUGUUGAUCUGGGGAAACUGGAACUGGCUAAUGUAAAUAACUAUAGCCCAUCCUCCA